GAUGAACGCUGGCGGCGUGCCUAAUACAUGCAAGUCGAGCGAACGGACGAGAAGCUUGCUUCUCUGAUGUUAGCGGCGGACGGGUGAGUAACACGUGGAUAACCUACCUAUAAGACUGGGAUAACUUCGGGAAACCGGAGCUAAUACCGGAUAAUAUUUUGAACCGCAUGGUUCAAAAGUGAAAGACGGUCUUGCUGUCACUUAUAGAUGGAUCCGCGCUGCAUUAGCUAGUUGGUAAGGUAACGGCUUACCAAGGCAACGAUGCAUAGCCGACCUGAGAGGGUGAUCGGCCACACUGGAUCUGAGACACGGUCCAGACUCCUACGGGAGGCAGCAGUAGGGAAUCUUCCGCAAUGGGCGAAAGCCUGACGGAGCAACGCCGCGUGAGUGAUGAAGGUCUUCGGAUCGUAAAACUCUGUUAUUAGUGAAGAACAUAUGUGUAAGUAACUGUGCACAUCUUGACGGUACCUAAUCAGAAAGCCACGGCUACUACGUG
This 496-nucleotide ribosomal RNA is filed under the name uncultured bacterium. RNAcentral's name for it is "partial 16S ribosomal RNA". It matches the Rfam family "Bacterial small subunit ribosomal RNA", at positions 28 to 507 of the family's 1533-position model. The record is from RNAcentral.